UACGUAGGGGGCUAGCGUUGUUCGGAAUUACUGGGCGUAAAGGGCGCGUAGGCGGUCUUGUAAGUCCUGUGUGAAAUCCCUCGGCUCAACUGAGGAACUGCACGGAAUACUGCGAGACUUGAGUUCGGGAGAGGGAAGCGGAAUUCCGGGUGUAGCGGUGAAAUGCGUAGAUAUCCGGAGGAACACCGGUGGCGAAGGCGGCUUCCUGGACCGAUUACUGACGCUGAGGCGCGAAAGCUAGGGGAGCAAACGGG
RNAcentral lists this ribosomal RNA (254 nucleotides) under uncultured bacterium. RNAcentral describes it as "partial 16S ribosomal RNA". It matches the Rfam family "Bacterial small subunit ribosomal RNA", at positions 524 to 776 of the family's 1533-position model. The record is from RNAcentral.